Caenorhabditis elegans is the source of this 93-nucleotide microRNA precursor. Lineage: Eukaryota; Metazoa; Nematoda; Chromadorea; Rhabditida; Rhabditidae. The record is from Ensembl.
GUUCACCAGAGUUGGCAGUGUUUCUCCCCCAACUUUUGUUACAGAAUUGCAAAAAUGUUGGCCGUGGUGAACACUUCCGCCUCUGGUUUGAAG